Molecule: ribosomal RNA, 254 nt
Filed under: uncultured bacterium
Lineage: Bacteria
Description: partial 16S ribosomal RNA
Rfam family: Bacterial small subunit ribosomal RNA
Source: RNAcentral
UACGUAGGGGGGCUAGCGUUGUCCGGAAUCAUUGGGCGUAAAGAGCGUGUAGGCGGUCCGGUAAGUCCGCUGUGAAAGUCCGGGGCUCAACCCCGGGAGGCGGAUGGAUACUGCAAGGCUUGAGUCCGGAAGAGGCGAGUGGAAUUCCCGGUGUAGCGGUGAAAUGCGCAGAUAUCGGGAGGAACACCAAUGGCGAAGGCAGCUCGCUGGGACGGUACUGACGCUGAGGCGCGAAAGCGUGGGGAGCAAACAGG